Molecule: long non-coding RNA, 865 nt
Filed under: Medicago truncatula (barrel medic)
Lineage: Eukaryota; Viridiplantae; Streptophyta; Magnoliopsida; Fabales; Fabaceae
Description: long non-coding RNA (MTRU_LNC003360)
Source: RNAcentral
UUUAGUUGUUAUUUACUUCACAAGAACAAUAAAACUUUCUAUUAAGUGCCAGAGAUGUAUAAUCCCACCAGAUUUAAUUUUAAACAAAUAAAUUAUCAACAUACUUCCCUAAAAAAAAAUUAUCAACAUUCUAGAUUUGUUAGGAUAUAUCAUUGUUAGUUAAAAGCUAGUUAUUUGAGGUUACUUGUUUUACAAGUAAAUGAUGACAAAUCAUCUUACAUUAUUCUUAGCAAGUUUUUUAGUCAAUUUUAGUAGAUUUUACAUCCAUAAUAGAGAAGUAUUAAAGUGAUUGUUUAUGAUUUCAGGACAUUUGUAAUAGAUGCAGUCAUUUCGGGACAUUUACUUCUAAGGAUGUUUGUAAAUCUGAACUCAUUUCACUCAGAACUUUUUAACAAAAUUAACUAGUAUAAAUAGGGGAUUUACCACUUUAUUUUUCACUACAUGUUUGUCCUAAUCACACCAAAAUUCUGUCAAAAUGUGUUUCCAACAUUCCAAUUUUAUUUUGGUCCAUCUCAACUCAUUCUAACAUUAAUAUAUACAUCCAACAUCACAUAUCACCUAAUUGUUGUGUCGCCCACAUUUUUGCGCGGAUUAAUUAUGGUUUUGAUGCUGGAGCUUGGAGGUUUUAUUUCUAUCAGCAUCCACAUUGGUAAGGUCUUUACCAAUUAAGAUUCAGUACUUAAUAGAUAUCCUUAAUAUGGGGAAAAAAAUUGAGGGUCUCUUAAGAUCUAGGUUUUAUUUAAGAUCCCAAUCUUAAGUGGACCCCACACCACUUUUCAAUAAAAUAAUAAUUAUUUGAGUUGUUUUUGUUGCUUUUCAUUAAUAUAUAGUUAUUGGUAUGACUCAUUUAGACAUUUCGAUAGAG